RNAcentral lists this long non-coding RNA (4247 nucleotides) under Homo sapiens (human). Its description in RNAcentral is "non-protein coding PTCSC3:6". Lineage: Eukaryota; Metazoa; Chordata; Mammalia; Primates; Hominidae. The record is from RNAcentral.
AAAACCAAACACUGCAUGUUCCCACUCAUAAGUGGGAGCUGAACAAUGAGAACACAUGGACACAGGGAGGGGAAACAUCACACACUGGGGCCCGUCAAGGGGUUGGGGGCUAGGGGAGAGAUACUAUUAGGAGAAAUACCUAAUGUAGAUGACGGGCGGAUGGGUGCAACAAACCUGCACAUUCUGCACGUGUAUCCCAGAACUUAGAGUAUAAUUUGAAAAAGAAAAAGGAAUGAAUGAAGAUGAGUGACAAGUAACAAUGUCAACAGAUUUUAUUCUUUUUGGUGACAAAGUAAAUGUACCCAUACUCCCUAAGACCCACUGUUUGAUCAGGAGGAAGGCAAAAAGCAUUCUAAUCUUUCAUCACAAUGCCCUUCAGAAACAUCAGCGUGUGUGCAUGCAUAUAUUGUUAUCUUUUGAAACUAAUAAAAAUCAGUCACUGAGGAAACAUAAAACAACCACCAAAGGUAGAGCUGUUCUCAGUCUGCAAUGCUCACCAUGAGCAGAGACGUACGGUGAUGUACAAAAACUUACCAGGCAGAACCCACAGACCAUAUAAUCUUCACAAAAGCUAGAAAAACCAGUUUUGGACAAUGUGACAUUUUACAGAACACAUUCAAGUUGGUACUGUCAUGAGGGGAAACCCCCAUAAACCAAAAGUUUCAUGCAGAGCAUGAUUUUGGAAAGGACAGAGAAUAGUAAGAUACAAUCUAUUGGAUGCAGUAACAUUUCUGCUAAUGUGAAAGUCCAGUCUAUAUUAUUGAAUGAACAAUAACCCAAAGGAGAGCUACAUUUUAUUAGGUUAAGAAAAUGGAAAUGACUUUGUGCUUUUCUCAAUAUGAAUAUUAAAUAUAUACAUAUAUAUAUAAAUCCCUUUCACCAAUUUGGUUAUAUGAUCAAACUUAACAACCAACCACUAAAAGAUACUGCCAGCACAUGGGCAUCCAAAUCUUAGGAUUAUUUUGUGAAAUUGUACAGGACACAGAGAAAGAGAGGAAGAAAUUUUCAAUCAAGCAAAUUUAGCAAGAUUUGGCAGACUCAGUUGCGCAGAUCGGUUGAAAUUUGGUCUUCCAUUAUUACUGUAUCAUUUACUCUUGUGUCAUCUAAGGACAACCUUCUAACUAAGACUCUCUUAUGCUGCAAAUGAUUAUAAUUUAAGGACCGUGAGUGUAUAAAAUAAGCUAUUAUAUAUGUAUAUAUAAAAUAUACUCUAAUAAAUACAAAAUAAAGAGUGUAUGCAUUAAAGAACCACUUGUGAACUCUUGGAGCAUGGGGGUAGCAACCAGCUACUUAUACACCUAUAGUAGUAUGUAUAUCAUCAUCUAACUAGGUUUUCUUGAUAAAGUUUUUACUGUGGAACCUCAAAAUUGUUAUUAAGACUUUUUUCUAUCUCAAUUUCUUUUCCCUGAUUUACAUUAGGUAUACAGAUAAGGAAGAAAAAUAAUUAUCAGUCACUUAACUACCUUGGAGUUUCAAUAGUGAAUUCUUUGGUUUUUGAAUGUUAGAAUCUUUAAUAAUGAGGUAAUUAUAGCUCUUUGGCCAUUUAAUCUUCAUCUUCUAAAAUUUAGUCAUUGUCUUGCAAGAAGUUGUGCCUUUUUCCUGAGGUGUAAUUUGUGCCAUGAAAACUCACCUUAAAGGAGAAAAAGCUCCAGCAGAGAAUAUAAUACUCAUCAGGGCACUGUUUUCUCAUUUAUAUGAUAUAAAGAACUAAUUUGUGAAUGCAUGGGGCCAAGAAGGGAAGAUGUCACAGAAAAAAUUCCUUCAUUUGGUGACUCAAUGUAUUCAGACUGGGUCAUAUCAAAUGGUAAUGUUGAAAUUAGACAUUUUACAUAACAAUUAAAAUUAUUUACAGACAUCUCUACUUGGAUAUCCCAAAGGGAACCCAAUCCUAACAUGUUUAAAACUGAACUUCCCCAGCUCCUUGCCCCUCCCCCAGAGAGAGAAAGAGGAAAGAGAGAGAGGCCUCUACUCCUCUUGUGCUCCUGAUUUCAACAUAAUGCACCACCUCCCUAACCACACAACCCCAGUCAGACCCUCAUCCCCUCUCACGUGGCUGUUACCAACGCCUCCUGACAUUCCUGUCUUACCUCUCCCCAACCCAUCUUUCACACAGUUCCUAGAGUGAUAGUAAGUAAUAUUUAAUGAUAUUUUCUAAUCACAACAGUAAUUUGGUUCAUUGAAGUAAAUUUGAAAAAUACAACAAAAUCACAAAAAUGAAAAUCUCACUACUCAUUGAUAUUCACCAUUAACAUUUUGGUAUCUUUUCAGCAUGUUUGUGAUAAUGUGUGCAUAAUUUUGGAGGAGAUGGAGUCUCGACACGUUGCCCAAGCUGUUCUCAAACUCCAGGGCUUGAACAAUCUUCCCACCUUGGCCUCCCAAGGCACUGGAAUUACAGAGACAGUGCUCUGCAGGGAGUCUACCACUGUGAUGGUUAAUACUGAGUGUCAACUUGAUUGGAUUGAAGGAUGCAAAGUAUUGUUCCUGGGUGUGUCUGUGAGGGUGUUGCCAAAGGAGAUUAACAUUUGAGUCAGUGGGCUGGGAAAGGUAGACCCAGCCGUAAUCUAGGUGGGCACCAUCUAAUCAGCUGCCAGCACAGCUAGAAGAUAAAGUAGGCAGAAAAACAUGAAAACAUUAGACUGGCCUAGCCUCUGAGCCUACAUCUUUCUCCCAUGCUGGAUGCUCCCUGCCCUUGAACAUCAGACUCCAAGUUUUUCAGUUUUGGGACUGGGACUCACUAUCCUUGCUCCUCAGCUUGCAGACAGCCUAUUGUGGGACCUUAUGAUCAUGCAUUCUGCUGGACCAACAAACAACAGUGUAUUUUUUCAUCCCCCUGCUGUUUGACAAUAAGAUUUUCUUAGCCUUGUAACAAUUAACAACUCAAAAAUAUACAUCUUUGUAUAUGUCUCCUUGAACAAGAGUUUCUCCCUGAGAAGCUCCCAGAAGAAGAACUGUUGGGCUAUGGAGAAUAUGCAUUGUCAACCUUACUUGGUAGUUCCAACAUAGCUUUCCAAAGUGUUUAUACUUAUUUUCCGUCCCUGCAACCACGCCUUGGAGUUCUUGUUUUGUUUGCAUUAUCACCAACAGUGAAUAUUAUCAAACUUAAUAAAUUUGUAAAUAUAAAAUGUUUUGUCCUUGUUUUAAUUUACAUUUCCUAAGUACUAAAGAAGUUGGACAUCUUUACAUAUAUUUAUUGGCCAUUGUAUUAGUUCAUUUUCACACUGCUAAUAAAGACACACCUGAGCCUGAGUAAUUUAUAAAGAAAAAGAAAUUUAAUGGACUCAUAGUUCCACAUGGCUGGGGAGGUCUCACAAUCAUGGCAGAAGGUGAAUGAGGAGAAAGACAUGUCUUACAUGGCAGCAGACAAGAGAGAGCAUGUGAGGGGAACUGCUGUUUAUAAAAUCAUCAGAUUUCAUGAGACUUAUUCACUAUCAAGGGAACAGCAUGGGAAAAACCCGCCCCAUGAUUCAAUUACCUCCCACAGGCUCCCUCCCAUGACACAUGGGGAUUAUUAGAAUUCAAGGUGAGAUUUGGGUGGGGACACAAAGCCAAACCAUAUCAGCCAUCUAUCUUCCUCUGUCAGUUUACCAUUAUAUAUUUUAACAAUAUUUAUAUCUGAUAUUAUUGAUUUCUAAGAGCAUUUUAUAUAUUCUGCGUAUUAAUAUUUCAUUGGUAAUAUGAGUUGCAAGUGUCUUUUCUCAGUCUAUGACUUUUAUUUUCAUCUCUGUCCCCUUUUAUACAGAAGUUUUAUGUUUCAGUGUAUCAGAAUGUAUUAAUUUUUCCUUUCGUGCUUUCUCUAAGAAUUAUAUCUUAGGAGUAAGUUCAAGAGAGCUAUUGUACAAUAUGGUUGUAUAGUUAAUAACAUUUUGAAAAUCACUGACUAGAUUGUUUUUACCACAAAAAAUGAUAAGUACAUGAUGUAAUGUAUGUGUUAAUUAGCUCAAAUGAGCCAUUCCACAAUGUAUACGUAUUUCAAAACAAUGUUGUACACAAUAAGUAUAUAAAUAUAUGCAAUUUCUAUUGGUCAAUUAAAAAUAUAUUUUACUAAAGGCAUAAAAAUAUUCUCCCAUUUUUUGGUUGAAAGUUUUAGAGCUUUGCUGAUCACAUUUAGGUCUUUAAGCUAUCUGGAAUGUAUUUUUGUGAAUGAUGUGAUAUAGCAAUCUCAUUUUAUCUUGUACUAUAUAAUGGCCAAGUUCCUCAGCAUCAUUUAUUGAUGAUUUUAUCCCCUUUCUCAUAUAAAAAACUCCCAA